UACGUAGGCAGCGAGCGUUGUUCGGAAUUACUGGGCGUAAAGAGUGUGUAGGCGGUGCUCUAAGUUCGGUGUGAAAUCUCCCGGCUUAACUGGGAGGGUGCGCCGGAAACUGGAGUGCUCGAGCGUGGGAGAGGAAAGCGGAAUUCCUGGUGUAGCGGUGAAAUGCGUAGAUAUCAGGAGGAACACCUGCGGUGUAGACGGCUUUCUGGACCAGUACUGACGCUCAUGCACGAAAGCGUGGGGAGCAAACAGG
Molecule: ribosomal RNA, 253 nt
Filed under: uncultured bacterium
Lineage: Bacteria
Description: partial 16S ribosomal RNA
Rfam family: Bacterial small subunit ribosomal RNA
Source: RNAcentral